Molecule: long non-coding RNA, 397 nt
Organism: Zingiber officinale
Lineage: Eukaryota; Viridiplantae; Streptophyta; Magnoliopsida; Zingiberales; Zingiberaceae
Exons: 4
Source: RefSeq, a predicted model, not a curated record
CUUCGGUUGGCUCCGAUCAGACGUCGCGACAACAGAGCCGUGCCCUAGCAACGAUCCUUAAGGUCACGGAUUGGGCAAUUUCUUUUGGAGACAACCGAUUGAGUGAGGUUAUGUGCUCCUGCGGUGGAUCUGGAAUUGGGUUCUGUGGCAGCUUGGUUUCCAGCAGUGUUCUGUGAGGUUGCUUAUUGUUGGUCCGGCAGCACCCACAACCGGUAGCUCCUCUAGUUCCAGCAUCAACAGUUGCUGGAAAUUGAGGAUUCUGAUUCGAGACGGGCAUCUCGAAGUUGACAUUGGAUUAGGAUUGGAUUGUACCUUCUAUUUGAGGCGGGUACCCUUUGACUUAUCUUUUGAUACUGUCUUAUGAUAUGUGCACUUUAUAUAUAAUUACUAGUGAUGG